RNAcentral lists this ribosomal RNA (425 nucleotides) under uncultured bacterium. RNAcentral's name for it is "partial 16S ribosomal RNA". It matches the Rfam family "Bacterial small subunit ribosomal RNA", at positions 354 to 796 of the family's 1533-position model. The record is from RNAcentral.
GUUAGGAAUAUUGGACAAUGGGCGCAAGCCUGAUCCAGCCAUGCCGCGUGAGUGAUGAAGGCCUUCGGGUUGUAAAGCUCUUUAGCCGAUGAUUAUAAUGACUGUAGUCGGAAAAUAAGCCCCGGCUAACUUCGUGCCAGCAGCCGCGGUAAUACGAAGGGGGCGAGUGUUAUUCGGAAUCACUGGGCGUAAAGCGUGCGUAGGCGGCUUUGCAAGUUGGGAGUGAAAGCCCAGGGCUCAACCCUGGAAUUGAUCUCAAAACUGCAAGGCUCGAAUUCGGGAGAGGAUAGCGGAAUUGUCAGUGUAGCAGUGAAAUGCGUAGAUAUUGACAGGAACACCAGUGGCGUAAGCGGCUAUCUGGACCGAUAUUGACGCUGAGGCACGAAAGCGUGGGGAUCAAACAGGAUUAGAUACCCCAGUAGUCC